This 492-nucleotide ribosomal RNA is filed under the name uncultured bacterium. Its description in RNAcentral is "bacterial SSU rRNA". It matches the Rfam family "Bacterial small subunit ribosomal RNA", at positions 28 to 526 of the family's 1533-position model. The record is from RNAcentral.
GACGAACGCUGGCGGCGUGCUUAACACAUGCAAGUCGAACGAUGAUGCCUGGUGCUUGCACUGGGUGGAUUAGUGGCGAACGGGUGAGUAACACGUGAGGACCUGUCCUUGACUCUGGGAUAAGCCUGGGAAACUGGGUCUAAUACUGGAUAUGACCAAUUGUCGCAUGGUGGUUGGUGGAAAGAUUUUUUGGUCAAGGGUGGUCUCGCGGCCUAUCAGUUUGUUGGUGGGGUAGUGGCCUACCAAGGCGAUGACGGGUAGCCGGCCUGAGAGGGUGACCGGCCACACUGGGACUGAGACACGGCCCAGACUCCUACGGGAGGCAGCAGUGGGGAAUAUUGCACAAUGGGCGCAAGCCUGAUGCAGCGACGCCGCGUGGGGGAUGAAGGCCUUCGGGUUGUAAACUCCUUUCGCCAUUGACGAAGCCCUUCGGGGUGACGGUAGGUGGAGAAGAAGCACCGGCUGACUACGUGCCAGCCGCCGCCGUAACAC